CCCUUAGACGUUCUGGGCCGCACACGCGCUACACUGACACAGGCAACGAGCUUUCCUUUACCGAAAGGUAUGGGUAAUCUUUUGAAACUGUGUCGUGCUGGGGAUAGAUCCUUGCAAUUUUUGAUCUUAAACGAGGAAUUCCUAGUAAGCGCGAGUCAUCAACUCGCGUUGAUUACGUCCCUGCCCUUUGUACACACCGCCCGUCGCUACUACCGAUUGAAUGGCUUAGUGAGGCCUCAGGAUCCGCGCUUAAUGUGUGGAGAAUUUGGACAAACUACGUCAUUUAGAGGAAGUAAAAGUCGUAACA
Molecule: ribosomal RNA, 307 nt
Filed under: uncultured eukaryote
Lineage: Eukaryota
Description: partial 18S ribosomal RNA
Rfam family: Eukaryotic small subunit ribosomal RNA
Source: RNAcentral